UGCAGGGGAGGGUGGGGCACAGGUGGCUGUCCUGGGGUCUCUCCUGUGGGAAGUUUCCCAGUGCUGCUCUGGUCACCAGCUCUGUGCUGCUGCUUGCUGCCUUCCCUGGGGACCCUGAACCACUUCCUUUUUUGAGAUUUCCUACAGAACCCUCUUUGUUUUACUCACCUGUUGGGGCUGCAGACAGCAGACACAGACACAUGUGGAAACCAAGCUUCUACUUGCUUCUGCAGCUGAGAUGGGACUGCAGCUGAACACCUGUAGGAGAGAUUACAGACAGAUGUCUUCAAAGACUCAAAAAAAGAAGACCAUGAAGAAAAACAAGGUCCUGUGAAUUCAGGAAACUAUAUUUGGAUCACUACAGUUGCCAGAGCACUGCAGAAGUCAGACUAAUUUGUCAUCUAGAAAGCCACAACACUAGAUCUGUCAAAUAAAUGUGAACUUCCACCA
Molecule: long non-coding RNA, 450 nt
Organism: Vidua chalybeata
Lineage: Eukaryota; Metazoa; Chordata; Aves; Passeriformes; Viduidae
Exons: 3
Source: RefSeq, a predicted model, not a curated record